Non-coding RNA from Schistosoma haematobium, 45 nucleotides. The record is from Rfam. Lineage: Eukaryota; Metazoa; Platyhelminthes; Trematoda; Strigeidida; Schistosomatidae.
GUCCAGCAGACGAAACCCAAAUAGGACGAAACGCUCGUCCUGUAU